RNAcentral lists this ribosomal RNA (497 nucleotides) under uncultured bacterium. Its description in RNAcentral is "partial 16S ribosomal RNA". It matches the Rfam family "Bacterial small subunit ribosomal RNA", at positions 30 to 523 of the family's 1533-position model. The record is from RNAcentral.
AUUGAACGCUGGCGGCAUGCUUUACACAUGCAAGUCGAACGGUAACAGGUCUUCGGAUGCUGACGAGUGGCGAACGGGUGAGUAAUGCAUCGGAACGUGCCCAGUCGUGGGGAUAACGCAGCGAAAGCUGCGCUAAUACCGCAUACGAUCUAUGGAUGAAAGCGGGGGACCGUAAGGCCUCGCGCGAUUGGAGCGGCCGAUGUCAGAUUAGGUAGUUGGUGGGGUAAAGGCCCACCAAGCCAACGAUCUGUAGCUGGUCUGAGAGGACGACCAGCCACACUGGGACUGAGCCACGGCCCAGACUCCUACGGGAGGCAGCAGUGGGGAAUUUUGGACAAUGGGCGCAAGCCUGAUCCAGCAAUGCCGCGUGCAGGAAGAAGGCCUUCGGGUUGUAAACUGCUUUUGUAUGGAACGAAACGGCUCUCUCUAAUACAGAGGGCUAAUGACGGUACCGUAAGAAUAAGCACCGGCUAACUACGUGCCAGCCGCCGCCGUAA